GUCGGAUUAGCUAGUUGGUGAGGUAAUGGCUCACCAAGGCAGCGAUCCGUAGCUGGUCUGAGAGGAUGAUCAGCCACAUCGGGACUGAGACACGGCCCGAACUCCUACGGGAGGCAGCCGUGGGGAAUAUUGGACAAUGGGGGCAACCCUGAUCCAGCCAUGCCGCGUGUGUGAAGAAGGCCCUCGGGUUGUAAAGCACUUUCAGCGAGGAAGAACGCCUAGUGGUUAAUACCCAUUAGGAAAGACAUCACUCGCAGAAGAAGCACCGGCUAACUCCGUGCCAGCAGCCGCGGUAAUACGGAGGGUGCAAGCGUUAAUCGGAAUUACUGGGCGUAAAGCGCGCGUAGGUGGCUUGAUAAGCCGGUCGUGAAAGCCCCGGGCUCAACCUGGGAACGGCAUCCGGAACUGUCAGGCUAGAGUGCAGGAGAGGAAGGUAGAAUUCCCGGUGUAGCGGUGAAAUGCGUAGAGAUCGGGAGGAAUACCAGUGGCGAAGGCGGCCUUCUGGACUGACACUGACACUGAGGUGCGAAAGCGUGGGUAGCAAACAGGAUUAGAUACCCUGGUAGUCCACGCCGUAAACGAUGUCGACCAGCCGUUGGGUGCCUAGCGCACUUUGUGGCGAAGUUAACGCGAUAAGUCGACCGCCUGGGGAGUACGGCCGCAAGGUUAAAACUCAAAUGAAUUGACGGGGGCCCGCACAAGCGGUGGAGCAUGUGGUUUAAUUCGAUGCAACGCGAAGAACCUUACCUACCCUUGACAUCGACAGAAGCCGAGAGAGAUCUUGGUGUGCCUUCGGGAACUGUCAGACAGGUGCUGCAUGGCUGUCGUCAGCUCGUGUUGUGAAAUGUUGGGUUAAGUCCCGUAACGAGCGCAACCCUUGUCCUUAUUUGCCAGCACGUAAUGGUGGGAACUCUAAGGAGACUGCCGGUGACAAACCGGAGGAAGGUGGGGACGACGUCAAGUCAUCAUGGCCCUUACGGGUAGGGCUACACACGUGCUACAAUGGCCGGUACAAAGGGCAGCGAGCUCGCGAGAGUCAGCGAAUCCCUUAAAGCCGGUCUCAGUCCGGAUCGGAGUCUGCAACUCGACUCCGUGAAGUCGGAAUCGCUAGUAAUCGU
RNAcentral lists this ribosomal RNA (1118 nucleotides) under uncultured bacterium. Its description in RNAcentral is "bacterial SSU rRNA". It matches the Rfam family "Bacterial small subunit ribosomal RNA", at positions 235 to 1345 of the family's 1533-position model. The record is from RNAcentral.